GGUGUUGUGGCUCAGUGGUAGAGCGCUCACCUGGCAAGUGCAAGGUGCUGGGUUUGAUCCUCAGCACCA
This 69-nucleotide transfer RNA is filed under the name Ictidomys tridecemlineatus (thirteen-lined ground squirrel). Its description in RNAcentral is "Spermophilus tridecemlineatus (thirteen-lined ground squirrel) tRNA". It matches the Rfam family "tRNA". Rfam says of the family: Transfer RNA (tRNA) molecules are approximately 80 nucleotides in length. Their secondary structure includes four short double-helical elements and three loops (D, anti-codon, and T loops). Further hydrogen bonds mediate the characteristic L-shaped molecular structure. tRNAs have two regions of fundamental functional importance: the anti-codon, which is responsible for specific mRNA codon recognition, and the 3' end, to which the tRNAs corresponding amino acid is attached (by aminoacyl-tRNA synthetases). tRNAs cope with the degeneracy of the genetic code in two manners: having more than one tRNA (with a specific anti-codon) for a particular amino acid; and 'wobble' base-pairing, i.e. permitting non-standard base-pairing at the 3rd anti-codon position. The record is from Rfam by way of RNAcentral. Lineage: Eukaryota; Metazoa; Chordata; Mammalia; Rodentia; Sciuridae.